UGCGUAGGCGGUCAUGAAAGUUAGAAGUGAAAGCCCAAGGCUCAACCUUGGAAUUGCUUUUAAAACUACAUGACUCGAAUUCGGGAGAGGAUAGCGGAAUUGUCAGUGUAGCAGUGAAAUGCGUAGAUAUUGACAGGAACACCGGUGGCGUAAGCGGCUAUCUGGACCGACAUUGACGCUGAGGCACGAAAGCGUGGGGAUCAAACAGGAUUAGAUACCCUGGUAGUCCACGCCGUAAACGAUGUAUGUUUGUCGCUGGGAGGUUUACCUUUCGGUGACGGAGCUAACGCGUUAAGCAUACCGCCUGGGAAGUACGGUCGCAAGAUUAAA
This 330-nucleotide ribosomal RNA is filed under the name uncultured bacterium. Its description in RNAcentral is "bacterial SSU rRNA". It matches the Rfam family "Bacterial small subunit ribosomal RNA", at positions 568 to 898 of the family's 1533-position model. The record is from RNAcentral.